UUUCCCUCAGGAUAGCUGGCACUCGCUCGAGCGAGUCUCAUCUGGUAAAGCGAAUGAUUAGAGGCCUUGGGGCCGAAACGACCUCAACCUAUUCUCAAACUUUAAAUGGGUGAGAUCUCUGGCUUGCUUGAAUUUGAAGCCACGAGAUUCUUAUGGAUCAGAGUGCCAAGUGGGCCAAUUUUGGUAAGCAGAACUGGCGCUGUGGGA
Molecule: ribosomal RNA, 207 nt
Filed under: Stenoselma sp. 1317_07
Lineage: Eukaryota; Metazoa; Arthropoda; Insecta; Hymenoptera; Pteromalidae
Description: partial 28S ribosomal RNA
Rfam family: Eukaryotic large subunit ribosomal RNA
Source: RNAcentral